RNAcentral lists this non-coding RNA (21 nucleotides) under Caenorhabditis elegans. The record is from RNAcentral. Lineage: Eukaryota; Metazoa; Nematoda; Chromadorea; Rhabditida; Rhabditidae.
UGAUCUUUAUGAAACAAAAAA